UACGAAGGGGGCUAGCGUUGUUCGGAAUUACUGGGCGUAAAGCGCGCGCAGGCGGUUCGAUAAGUUGGGGGUGAAAUCCCCGGGCUCAACCCGGGAAUGGCCUUCAAGACUGUCGAGCUAGAGGACGAGAGAGGUGAGUGGAAUUCCCAGUGUAGAGGUGAAAUUCGUAGAUAUUGGGAAGAACACCGGUGGCGAAGGCGGCUCACUGGCUCGUUUCUGACGCUGAGGCGCGAAAGCGUGGGGAGCAAACAGGAUUAGAAACCCUCGUAGUCC
This 273-nucleotide ribosomal RNA is filed under the name uncultured prokaryote. RNAcentral describes it as "partial 16S ribosomal RNA". It matches the Rfam family "Bacterial small subunit ribosomal RNA", at positions 524 to 796 of the family's 1533-position model. The record is from RNAcentral.